RNAcentral lists this non-coding RNA (520 nucleotides) under Pan troglodytes (chimpanzee). The record is from RNAcentral. Lineage: Eukaryota; Metazoa; Chordata; Mammalia; Primates; Hominidae.
GAUUCUUCCCAAUUCUACCGCCACCAUUCUGGUUCAAGCUACCUGAUGUCACCACCAUUCAGUGCAGAAAUGAUGGGCAAUCACCAAAGCUCAACUUACUAAAGCAAUUAUACUGGCUAACUUAUCCAGUAGAGACGGGGUUUCACCAUGUUAGCCAGGAUGGUCUCGAUCUUCUGACCUCGUGAUCCAUCUGCCUCAGCCUUCCAAAGUUCUGGGAUUACAGACGUGAGCCACCACGCCCGGCCAAAAGAUCCAUAAACUUUGAGUCACCAGAUGGAGCUAACAUUUACCACAGAGGCAUGUAAAGAAAACGAUUCUAGCAGAGUAACUAUAAUACAAAAGAACAAUAUUCCAAUUAUGUCCCUAUGUUCUAUCCAGGAAGGUUUAAGAGGAGCCUUUUAAACUGAACUAUAUUCUAAGAGGUGGGAAAAAGUUUUCUUUUGUUUUUCUUAUUAACCGUACCUUGAAAGCCCCAAAUAAAUGUUCCUUGGUUUAGAUGCCCUGGUAGAUGACCAAAAAA